UUUGUCUGAGGUCAUAAAUCAGUCACUUCACAAUGAGGCUACCCUUACCUCAUGUAGAAAGCCAGUGCUACAGACAACCUUACAUGAUGCACGUUAUGAGGACAAUUUCUCCGAGACUGAUCCUAUCCAGGAGCAGCCCGAGCCUUUGGAAAGUAACAAAUCACAGAAAACCUUACAUGAUGCACGGUAUGAGGACAAUUUCUCUGAGACUGAUCCUAUCCAAGAGCAG
Long non-coding RNA from Cyprinus carpio (common carp), 229 nucleotides. RefSeq lists it as uncharacterized. The transcript is spliced from 3 exons. The record is from RefSeq and is a predicted model, not a curated record. NCBI's taxonomy places the organism in Eukaryota, Metazoa, Chordata, Actinopteri, Cypriniformes, Cyprinidae.